CGGGUGAGUAAUGUCUGGGAAACUGCCUGAUGGAGGGGGAUAACUACUGGAAACGGUAGCUAAUACCGCAUAACGUCGCAAGACCAAAGUGGGGGACCUUCGGGCCUCAUGCCAUCAGAUGUGCCCAGAUGGGGUUAGCUAGUAGGUGGGGUAACGGCUCACCUAGGCGACGAUCCCUAGCUGGUCUGAGAGGAUGACCAGCCACACUGGAACUGAGACACGGUCCAG
Molecule: ribosomal RNA, 228 nt
Filed under: uncultured bacterium
Lineage: Bacteria
Description: partial 16S ribosomal RNA
Rfam family: Bacterial small subunit ribosomal RNA
Source: RNAcentral